RNAcentral lists this ribosomal RNA (499 nucleotides) under uncultured bacterium. RNAcentral describes it as "partial 16S ribosomal RNA". It matches the Rfam family "Bacterial small subunit ribosomal RNA", at positions 28 to 507 of the family's 1533-position model. The record is from RNAcentral.
GACGAACGCUGGCGGCGUGCCUAAUACAUGCAAGUCGAGCGAAGUUUUUCUGGUGCUUGCACUAGAAACACUUAGCGGCGAACGGGUGAGUAACACGUAAAGAACCUGCCUCAUAGACUGGGACAACUAUUGGAAACGAUAGCUAAUACCGGAUAACAGCAUUAACUGCAUGGUUGAUGUUUAAAAGUUGGUUUUGCUAACACUAUGAGAUGGCUUUGCGGUGCAUUAGCUAGUUGGUGGGGUAAAGGCCUACCAAGGCGACGAUGCAUAGCCGACCUGAGAGGGUGAUCGGCCACACUGGGACUGAGACACGGCCCAGACUCCUACGGGAGGCAGCAGUAGGGAAUCUUCCGCAAUGGGCGAAAGCCUGACGGAGCAACGCCGCGUGAGUGAAGAAGGAUUUCGGUUCGUAAAGCUCUGUUGUUAGGGAAGAAUGAUUGUGUAGUAACUAUACACAGUAGAGACGGUACCUAACCAGAAAGCCACGGCUAACUACGUG